Molecule: unclassified non-coding RNA, 254 nt
Filed under: Melitaea cinxia (Glanville fritillary)
Lineage: Eukaryota; Metazoa; Arthropoda; Insecta; Lepidoptera; Nymphalidae
Description: misc RNA ENSMCXG00005022297.1
Source: RNAcentral
UCUUUACACCCCCCCCCCCCCAAAAAUUUUAUUUAUUAAAAAAAAAAAAAAAAAAAAAAAAAAAAAAAAAAAAAAAAAAAAAAAAAAAAAAAAUACUCUGUAAAUCAAUAAAACACAUAAAUGCAUAAUCAAAAAAAAAAAAAAGAUCAAUAUACUCAUAAUUAAAAAAAAAAAAAAAAAAAAAAAAAAAAAAAAAAAAAAAAAAAAAAAAAAAAAAAAAAAAAAAAAAAAAAAACCAUAUAUACUUUACUACC